UCUCUCAGCCGGAGGCCUGGCUUGUCUUUCAAGAGGACCACGUGUUUGGUGGAGCAGCUAAUGGUAAAAUAUGCAGAGGCCCUUGGGUAUCACAUGAGGCAAUCUUGCCUCGGCUGCUUCCCUGUGGCUUUGGCAAGCGUGCUGGUCAGAUGAAGGAAGAGCAGGAAAGCGGAAGUCAGCGAGUCAUCUGACUGCUGCUCUUUUCCUCUGGGCUCUUCUCGGGGCCAUCAGGGGCUGUGUGAGGCACAAGUUCCUGAAAUAGCUUAUUUUUAAUGCCCUGAAAGGAACCUGAGUGUUGGGCUGAGUAGAAGGCCUCAGAGCACAGCGGUGGUGUGAUGUCAGGCGUGCGUGAACUGGUACUGAGCUAGACUACUCUCCGUGUAUGGCACUUUGCUCUAUUAAGCAUGUUUUGUUUGUUUUGUUUUAAAUUUUUUUGACAAGAUUUCUUGCAGCCCAGAUUGACCUUUGACUUGCUAUGUAGCUGGAGAUGACCUUGAACUCCUGCUUCUCCUACCUCUACCCUAUAAGUGCUAUGGUUUUAGAUGGAGGCAGUGCCUGAAGAGGGUGUCAGAUCCCAUGGAACUGGAGUUACAAGAAACUGUGAGCUCCAGGGUUGUGUACUUGGAUUAUCCUUGGCUCUGGAAGAAGGAGGAAGACUCUGUGGAGUAAGAAGGAGGUGGAUGUCUUCCUGGUCAGUUUCACUGUUAUGC
Long non-coding RNA from Apodemus sylvaticus (European woodmouse), 710 nucleotides. RefSeq lists it as uncharacterized. NCBI's taxonomy places the organism in Eukaryota, Metazoa, Chordata, Mammalia, Rodentia, Muridae. The record is from RefSeq and is a predicted model, not a curated record. The transcript is spliced from 3 exons.